UUGCUUGCCUGAGAAGUUUCUAGACAGUAUUAGCUAUUGUGGAUAAAAAUGGAAUUCUUCACUUCUGUAAUAUAGAGAUAUUUUCUCUGUGACUCUGACCUCUCAGAUCUUUCCUUUAUUGCUCCAAACCGCAGCCAUAGAUUUAGUUCUAAAGAGGUCUCCCUUUCCUGGCAUUAGUAUCUAUGGGAUGGAUGACAGUGUGCUGUGACUUUUUAUGCCAACAGGCCACUCUCUUCUCUGUACUAUUGUAGAUUUUUCUCUCAAGCGGUAGUGCAGCUUUGAAGACUCCUGGAGAUCGUGGCAACAUUUUUAUCAGCUGCAUCAACCAACAAGCAUUGCUACCUCGAGGAAAUAAGGGGCUGCUGAACUCAUCCUUGAUUCUGUCAAGCUAUCCUCAAUCUGUAUAAUUGGUCCCUGUGUGGUUGUAGGCAAGAAAAUAAAAAUGGACUGAACCCCAGAAACAUGACAAAUGCUUUGAAAAUGGCUUUGGACUAAAAGAGUCUCCAUGUGUUUCAUAAUGGAAUCAUUUUGCUUAUGAGAAAUGCCUGUGAGGAUGUCAUAGAAUGCUGCUGCUGGAAGAUUCAAAG
Molecule: long non-coding RNA, 587 nt
Organism: Orcinus orca (killer whale)
Lineage: Eukaryota; Metazoa; Chordata; Mammalia; Artiodactyla; Delphinidae
Exons: 3
Source: RefSeq, a predicted model, not a curated record